This 265-nucleotide ribosomal RNA is filed under the name uncultured bacterium. RNAcentral describes it as "partial 16S ribosomal RNA". It matches the Rfam family "Bacterial small subunit ribosomal RNA", at positions 90 to 353 of the family's 1533-position model. The record is from RNAcentral.
ACUGAGCGGCGGACGGGUGAGUAACGCGUGGGUAACCUGCCUCAUACAGGGGGAUAACAGUUGGAAACGGCUGCUAAUACCGCAUAAGCGCACAGUACCGCAUGGUACCGUGUGAAAAACUCCGGUGGUAUGAGAUGGACCCGCGUCUGAUUAGGUAGUUGGUGGGGUAACGGCCUACCAAGCCGACGAUCAGUAGCCGACCUGAGAGGGUGACCGGCCACAUUGGGACUGAGACACGGCCCAAACUCCUACGGGAGGCAGCAUG